RNAcentral lists this ribosomal RNA (496 nucleotides) under uncultured bacterium. RNAcentral describes it as "bacterial SSU rRNA". It matches the Rfam family "Bacterial small subunit ribosomal RNA", at positions 29 to 507 of the family's 1533-position model. The record is from RNAcentral.
ACGAACGCUGGCGGCGUGCCUAAUACAUGCAAGUAGAACGCUGAAGGAAGGAGCUUGCUCUUUCCGGAUGAGUUGCGAACGGGUGAGUAACGCGUAGGUAACCUGCCUGGUAGCGGGGGAUAACUAUUGGAAACGAUAGCUAAUACCGCAUAAUAUUGAUUAUUGCAUGAUAGUCAAUUAAAAGGUGCAAUUGCAUCACUACCAGAUGGACCUGCGUUGUAUUAGCUAGUUGGUGGGGUAACGGCUCACCAAGGCGACGAUACAUAGCCGACCUGAGAGGGUGAUCGGCCACACUGGGACUGAGACACGGCCCAGACUCCUACGGGAGGCAGCAGUAGGGAAUCUUCGGCAAUGGACGGAAGUCUGACCGAGCAACGCCGCGUGAGUGAAGAAGGUUUUCGGAUCGUAAAGCUCUGUUGUAAGAGAAGAACGAGUGUGAGAGUGGAAAGUUCACACUGUGACGGUAUCUUACCAGAAAGGGACGGCUAACUACGUG